AGAGUUUGAUCAUGGCUCAGGAUGAACGCUAGCGAUAGGCCUAACACAUGCAAGUCGAGGGGCAUCACAUGAAGCAGCAAUGCGGAUGGUGGCGACCGGCGCACGGGUGAGUAACACGUAUGCAACCUACCUUCAACUGGAGGAUAACCCGUUGAAAGACGGACUAAUACUCCAUAACACAGGGGUCCCGCAUGGGGAUAUUUGUUAAAGAUUAAUCGGUUGAAGAUGGGCAUGCGUUCCAUUAGCUGGUUGGCGGGGUAACGGCCCACCAAGGCAACGAUGGAUAGGGGAACUGAGAGGUUUAUCCCCCACACUGGAACUGAGACACGGUCCAGACUCCUACGGGAGGCAGCAGUGAGGAAUAUUGGUCAAUGGGGGCAACCCUGAACCAGCCAAGUCGCGUGAAGGAUGAAGGUCUUAUGGAUUGUAAACUUCUUUUAUACGGGAAUAAAGUGGGGGACGUGUCCCCCUUUGCAUGUACCGUAUGAAUAAGGAUCGGCUAACUCCGUGCCAGCAGCCGCGGUAAUACGGAGGAUCCGAGCGUUAUCCGGAUUUAUUGGGUUUAAAGGGUGCGCAGGCGGGAUGUUAAGUCGGCGGUGAAAUUUUGCAGCUCAACUGUAAAAGUGCCUUCGAUACUGGCCUCCUUGAGUGUGGAUGAAGUAGGCGGAAUUUGUGGUGUAGCGGUGAAAUGCUUAGAUAUCACGAGGAACUCCGAUUGCGCAGGCAGCUUACUAAACCACAACUGACGCUCAUGCACGAAGGCGUGGGGAUCAAACAGGAUUAGAUACCCUGGUAGU
Molecule: ribosomal RNA, 797 nt
Filed under: uncultured bacterium
Lineage: Bacteria
Description: bacterial SSU rRNA
Rfam family: Bacterial small subunit ribosomal RNA
Source: RNAcentral